GAGUUUGAUCAUGGCUCAGAACGAACGCUGGCGGCAUGCCUAACACAUGCAAGUCGAACGAAGGCUUCGGCCUUAGUGGCGCACGGGUGCGUAACGCGUGGGAAUCUGCCCUUUGCUUCGGAAUAACAGUGGGAAACUACUGCUAAUACCGGAUGAUGUCUUCGGACCAAAGAUUUAUCGGCAAGGGAUGAGCCCGCGUAGGAUUAGGUAGUUGGUGGGGUAAAGGCCUACCAAGCCGACGAUCCUUAGCUGGUCUGAGAGGAUGAUCAGCCACACUGGGACUGAGACACGGCCCAGACUCCUACGGGAGGCAGCAGUGGGGAAUAUUGGACAAUGGGGGAACCCGUCGAUCCACGCAAUGCCGCGUGAGGGAGUGAAGGUC
Molecule: ribosomal RNA, 382 nt
Filed under: uncultured Alphaproteobacteria bacterium
Lineage: Bacteria; Pseudomonadati; Pseudomonadota; Alphaproteobacteria
Description: bacterial SSU rRNA
Rfam family: Bacterial small subunit ribosomal RNA
Source: RNAcentral